GACGAACGCUGGCGGCGUGCUUAACACAUGCAAGUCGAACGAAGAGCGAUGGAAGCUUGCUUCUAUCACUCUUAGUGGCGAACGGGUGAGUAACGCGUAAUCAACCUGCCCUUCAGAGGGGGACAACAGUUGGAAACGACUGCUAAUACCGCAUACGAUCUAAUCUCGGCAUCGAGGAUAGAUGAAAGGUGGCCUCUACAUGUAAGCUAUCACUGAAGGAGGGGAUUGCGUCUGAUUAGCUAGUUGGAGGGGUAACGGCCCACCAAGGCGAUGAUCAGUAGCCGGUCUGAGAGGAUGAACGGCCACAUUGGGACUGAGACACGGCCCAGACUCCUACGGGAGGCAGCAGUGGGGAAUCUUCCGCAAUAGACGAAAGUCUGACGGAGCAACGCCGCGUGAGUGAUGACGGCCUUCGGGUUGUAAAGCUCUGUUAAUCGGGACGAAAGGCCUUCUUGCGAAUAGUGAGAAGGAUUGACGGUACCGGAAUAGAAAGCCACGGCUAACUACGUG
This 510-nucleotide ribosomal RNA is filed under the name uncultured bacterium. Its description in RNAcentral is "partial 16S ribosomal RNA". It matches the Rfam family "Bacterial small subunit ribosomal RNA", at positions 28 to 507 of the family's 1533-position model. The record is from RNAcentral.